UACAGAGGGGGCAAGCGUUGUUCGGAAUUACUGGGCGUAAAGCGUGUGUAGGCGGUCCACUAAGUCGGGUGUGAAAGCCCUGGGCUCAACCCAGGAAGUGCACUCGAAACUGGCGGGCUAGAGUAUCGGAGAGGUUGGUGGAAUUCUCGGUGUAGAGGUGAAAUUCGUAGAUAUUAGCUAGAACACCAGUGGCGAAGGCGGCCAACUGGUCCGGUACUGACGCUGAGGUGCGAAAGCGUGGGGAGCAAACAGG
Molecule: ribosomal RNA, 253 nt
Filed under: uncultured bacterium
Lineage: Bacteria
Description: partial 16S ribosomal RNA
Rfam family: Bacterial small subunit ribosomal RNA
Source: RNAcentral